CACAAUCGCAGGCACGCCCCCUCCCCCUCCCCGGCCUUCCGCGCCAUCGCCAAAUCGGACGCCGUCUGGGCCUGCUUCCUGCCGCCGCUCGCUGACCUCCCGCCGCUGGCCAAUGGAGAGCCGCUGCCGGGGCGCGGGAAGAAGGACAUGUUCCUCUGCCUCUCCGGCAGCUCCAUCCUCCUUUCAGGCGGACUCAUGAGCAUGUGGCUGGACAGGGAUUCCGGCGCCAAGUGUUACAUGGUGUCGGCGAAGCAGCUGUCCAUCGCGCGGCACGACACGCCACAGUACUGGUCCUGGAUUGAUCUCGCCGACUCGAGGUUCUCUAAAGGUGCUCAACUCAUCUUUGUUUGUUGGAUGGAAAUCCGCGGCAAGAUACACGGCAAGAUGCUGUCACAAGGCACACCUUAUGCCACUUACAUGCUGUUCAAGUUGGCAGAUGAGACCUACGGGCUGGACUCGCCAGCCGAUGCAUCUGUGAGCGUUGGAGGCACAGGUAUUGCGCGCAAGCUCUGCAUCCAACAUAACCCGCAAAGAUGCUAUACAGAGGACGUAGUGCUCCCUCGUGAAAGGGCUGAUGGUUGGAUGGAGCUGGAACUAGGUGAGUUUGUAUGCGAGGGGGAUGAAGAUGGCGACGUGUCCUUCAGCCUAGUGGAGACGAAACGUUUGAAUGAGAAGAGCGGUCUCUUCAUGCAGGGCAUGAAGAUAAGGCGUAAGAAUCAAACGGAUCUAAUUAAGGGAGGAGCUUCU
This 747-nucleotide ribosomal RNA is filed under the name Triticum aestivum (bread wheat). RNAcentral's name for it is "partial small subunit ribosomal RNA". Lineage: Eukaryota; Viridiplantae; Streptophyta; Magnoliopsida; Poales; Poaceae. The record is from RNAcentral.